AUUUAAUGCAUACAUGUAAGCAACAAUAAACCAUUGCUUACGAAAAAGCAAUUCUGAGCGGAGUUCAGUUGAUAGUGAUGCUUUGUCAACAAUAUAUAUAUGACAAUUUAAAGUAAAAUAAUUAAACAGGCUUUAUAUAUUUUCUUUACUAAUAUUUGUUUAAUGUUGCACCGAUUUUUCCAUUUCCUACGUUUUUCGCGGAUUCCCCGUGUUUUACCCGGUUUUUCACAUUUACUGGGAAAAUUGUUAGAAAAAUCGAAAAAUUACCUCUUUAAAGUACCUCGCUAGUAAAAUUUCUUUUUAGAAACAUUGCUGUCAUUGAAAGUUGGAGCAAAAUUGCUAGUAGAAGAAUUGUGCACAGA
Cinara cedri is the source of this 362-nucleotide non-coding RNA. Lineage: Eukaryota; Metazoa; Arthropoda; Insecta; Hemiptera; Aphididae. The record is from the annotation of a GenBank genome assembly.